CUUUUCUCAAAGUCUUAUGAAGUCCAGAGAGCUUAAACAUUUGGACACAUUGAACUGGGGAAGAUUUCCUGCAUUACUGAGUCUGCUCACCCUCCUAUUUUGGGCAACCAGGUCAUAUGAACUCAUGAAUGUUUCAGCAGAACAGCAAGCAAUGAUGCCUCUAUCUUACCAUGGUUUCCUACUAACAGGUGAGCAGUGUAGGAGAGACAUAUGGAGUGUCCUUAGAGGCAGGUUAUUCAUGCCUCUUCUUCAGACUGCUGGCACACUCCCUUCAGUAUGCCUCAUCUCACAAACCUAGGUAAGUAGGAAACCUAACCUGAUUCUAAAUGCAGAUAUUACAGAUGGCAUAUUUGUUUGGAAGAGUCUUUC
Molecule: long non-coding RNA, 369 nt
Filed under: Anas platyrhynchos platyrhynchos (common mallard)
Lineage: Eukaryota; Metazoa; Chordata; Aves; Anseriformes; Anatidae
Description: lncRNA (ENSAPLG00000025802.1)
Source: RNAcentral